Molecule: ribosomal RNA, 856 nt
Filed under: Bacteroides faecichinchillae
Lineage: Bacteria; Pseudomonadati; Bacteroidota; Bacteroidia; Bacteroidales; Bacteroidaceae
Description: partial 23S ribosomal RNA
Rfam family: Bacterial large subunit ribosomal RNA
Source: RNAcentral
ACCUAAAGGAGUGACGUGGAGACGGAGCAGUGACAGCGCCGCGGACUGACGGAAUAGUCCGUUGAAGGGUGUAGAUGUUGAUCAUCCCAGGCAAAUCCAGGAUGAGAGUCGAUCCUGAUAGUAUACCAAGUUCUUCGGAAUGCGGUAAUAGUGCGUGUAAUCAUACUCCCAAGAAAAUCCGCUAAACUUAAUCCUUGAGGUACCCGUACCGCAAACGGACACACGUAGUCGGGUUGAAUAUACUAAGGCGCUUGAGUGAUUCACGGUUAAGGAACUAGGCAAAUUAACCCUGUAACUUCGGGAUAAAGGGUCCCAACUUCCGUUGGGCGCAGAGAAUAGGUCCAGGCAACUGUUUAACAAAAACACAGGGCUGUGCCAAAUUGAAAGAUUACGUAUACAGCCUGACACCUGCCCGGUGCUGGAAGGUUAAGAGGAGAUGUUAUCGCAAGAGAAGCAUUGAAUUGAAGCCCCAGUAAACGGCGGCCGUAACUAUAACGGUCCUAAGGUAGCGAAAUUCCUUGUCGGGUAAGUUCCGACCUGCACGAAUGGUGUAAUGAUCUGGACACUGUCUCAAUCGUGAGCUCAGUGAAAUUGUAGUAUCGGUGAAGAUGCCGAUUACCCGCGAUGGGACGAAAAGACCCCGUGAACCUUUACUAUAGCUUAACAUUGAAUUUGGGUAAUUGAUGUGUAGGAUAGGCCGGAGACAUUGAAGCAGGUACGCCAGUAUUUGUGGAGUCGCUGUUGAAAUACGGCCCUUUGAUUAUUUGAGUUCUAACUCGUUGUUACGAGGACACUGUUUGGUGGGUAGUUUGACUGGGGUGGUCGCCUCCAAAAGCGUAACGGAGGCUUCUAAAGG